ACAAAUAGUGCUUAUUGUAAGCUGUGGGUCCUAUGGAAUGUAGGGAUAGAAAGUGGGUAGUAAUAGUUUUGGUUCAUACAAAAUGUGUGGAUAAAAAAGUUUGUUUGAUCAGAAGUAAUAAUAAAAUAAUCACCAACCAACAUGCAGUCUUCUGGUUUUUGUCAAUUUAAUCUUAUAUUGUCAUUUUGUGAAAUGUCUUCAGGAUUAUAUACAUCGCGUUGGAAGAACUGCUCGUGCUGGACGCUCUGGGAUUGCAAUAUCAUUGAUCAAUCAAUACGAGAUGGGAUGGUACCUGCAAAUAGAGCAACUUAUUGGUAAGAAACACAUUUAAAUAAUUUCUUGGCGGAGUUAUCCGACCUUUAUUUUCCCUAGACCAAAUAUCGUUUCUGUUUCAGGUAAAAAGUUACCGAAGUACCCUGCUGAGCUGGAUGAGGUGUUGCAACUGUUGGAACGUGUAACCGAGGCCAAAAGAAUAUCUGUGAUGGUAGGCAUUUAGCAUUUUUUUGAUAUCAUAGUUUAGCAUUAGUUCUGCUUAAAAGUUGGUUGCUGAGGUUGAACUCAGGAGUUAGAUAUUCUUGUGAAUCUGUUAAAUUGGUUCACUAAUAGGGCAUGUUUGAUAUGUAGUACUGGACAAGAUUAGGCAAUACAAAUGAAUUAGAUUUUAACCUUUUUUCCUUAAGAAAAUCCACCACCGCCUAUAUUGGAAUUUUUAAGAUCCUACCAAAAUACUGAUGGUGGGUCCCCAUACUUGAGCGAGAUACUUACUUCAAGAUGUUCUAGCACAGAUCAAUCCUUGAGAAACUUAAAGAUGAAGGUACUACUUUUGUUACGGAAGUCAAAAAUAGGAAAACAAAAGCUAGAUUUGUAGUACUACUCCAUUAUUUAACGCCUAGAUCAUUAAACAUUAUGCUACAGCUAAAAAUCACCCUCAAUGCUGUGCAAUUGUUAUUUCUUUGAUCCAAUAUAUUCACCUCGGAUAUAUGGGACAUAUAAGCGACCAAGAUACAAAAUACGAUUAAGUUUAGAUUGGCGUUUAUUGCCUAUCAACACCAUGUAACAUUGCAUGGUGCCCUCAUUAGUUAAAAACCAGCCACCUUAUUCCCUUCUCUAGUUAAUAUCAGAGAUUCUAAAGUUGAAGCCCAACUUGUAUGGGUGAAUUUAAUCACGUUUUGAAUACUCCAAUCCCUGCUGCCAUCUCACUUAUACAUUGCACUGCCACCAAAGAAUCAGAUUCAAUCCAGACGUGUGAGACCAACCUACAACCAAGUCGUAGCCCAUCCAUAAUUGCUCGAAGCUCAGCCACAAGUUGAAACAAAUUUCCUAGAAGUUACAUAAGCUAGAUGACGGAACGGGAAGACCUCGGAUGUAGAAGAUCAUACCACGAGUGAUUUGGCAGGAAACAUUGUCUAAGAUGAUCCCGAAUGAUAACAUAAGAUUUUAAUUCCUUUCUUUGUUAAUAUCAUCCAGUACUGUAAUCCACCUUACCGAACAUACUCUUAGUGCCAUGUGGACUUGACAGUCAUUAUAAUAAGAUGAGGAGUAAUGGGUCCUAGGAAAAGUGCAAAUGUUAAGUAGGUUGUAGCUGUGAAUGCGUGGUUAAAAUUACAGUUUGAAAAUUUCAAGUUCUUAUGAUGAAAUCCUAAACACUGUAUUUCUGAUAUAUUUUAAAUUUUUGCUCAGAUUGCGUUGACAUUAUGGGCGUUCAAUUGAUUUCCUUCGAGUUCCUUGGUUUCUAUGUCGUAUCAUUUAGUUUGACACACUUGGUUGAUGAACCGUUUUAUAAUUUUGUACGAUUGAGAUAUAGCUAUUCUUAUCAUUUUGUUGGACUGUGUUUUCUAGGCAAUAAAUAUAAUAUCAUGAUUUUAUUUCUUAAAUCUUCUGCAGAAAAUCAAAGAAACUGGAGGAAAUAAGAGGCGAAAAGGUGGUGAAGGUGAUGCCCAGGAAGAGAUUGAGAAAUAUUUAGGUCGUAAUAAAGGGAAGUCGUUUAAGAAGACAAAAAGAUGAUGAGAAAAGGAUCAUCUUCAAGGGACUUGUUCUAAUUUGGAUUUCUCAUUUUUGUACUUAAAUUAGUAUAAUUAUGUUUCCUUGCGAGGGAAAAUUUUGUAGGAUAAUUUUGAUCAUAUCUUUUAUGGUUUACAUGAGUCUAAACGUGAAUAUUGGCAUCAAUGCUACAGCCAUAUGUCUACAUAUAUCUAUGACAAAACUGAUUCUAUAUACUGUAAAAGUCAAAAGUCUUGGCCAAAUUCUCACAAGAUUGCCAAAAACCAUAGGGAGAAUUAGGAUUCCAUUUUCCGUAGCAAAUGAUUUACUUUUUUCCUUCCAAAGAAACUUUACAUGAUAAUGGCGUAAGAAUAAUAGUGUAUUAAAUUGUUUACCUCAUCUCACAUGCAAGUAGGUAGGGCUGGGUAAAUCUCUCGAACCGAACCGAUCGAAUUUGACGAUUCUUGUCAAAUUAAAUACCCGAACGGGUAUCUGAAUUGAGAAUCGACGGGUACGGUUCGAUUCUCGGUUCUAGAAAAUCUGUGUGUACCCAAAGCAGCUGCGCGAGAGCACAAAGUGUCGUCAAGUGGAUGAAAGAAAAGGAGGGGAUCUCAUAUGAUUUCGAUGUUAUGCUUUGUUACAUUGGUGGCUUUAAAUUCAAAUACAGAGCUACAUAGAUGUAAAUGAAACUUGAGAGAAAAGGAGGUAUUGAUGAAGGGUAAUGUUUCUGCCAAAGUGACCCACAAAGAUUGUAGCAGAAUAUGCAAAAGGAGUGAAAGAACAUAGACCAUUAAGAAAGUGUCAGUGAUUAUUCACCUGUACUUUUCCGUGCUCCUCUUCACAUUAAUCUGCAGUUUGCAACUUGGAAUAAAUCAGAAUACUUAUUGGGUUGCCAGUCAAAAUGUGAAGCUGCCAUGUUUAACUACGUUUCAGAUUUUAGGUUCUCAGCUCCUCAAUUAGUGGCAGAUCAGGAUGGGCCAGGAGAGAGAGAGAGAGAUAGAGAAAAAAAAAAGUGUUCAUGCUCGACUGAUAUAUCUAUUUGGUUCUUUCAGUGAAUUUCUUGACGAAACUAUCAUUCAUUAUUAUGAUGCUUGGUUCAAGUGUAGAUACAUAUUGUUCUCUAAAGUUUUAGAAUAUUCGAAGCUACUUUAGUUUGUAUUCCUGAUGGAUAUUUGUUUUCUUGUUCAUGCAUUUAUUUGCAGUGCUGACUGUUGAAAAUGACGAUUUUGUUGACCUACUUGUUGUAGGUGGCAACACCUGGCCGUCUUGUUGAUCAUCUCUCUAAUACCAAAGGAUUCUCUCUUCGUGCAUUGAAAUACUUGGUGAGACUCUAUACGCAUUUCAACUUCCAUGACACUCUUCUCCAUGCCCCUUCAGCACCCUCUUUCUAUGCAGCUCUUUUAUAAUUUUGUGAAAUAACACUCUGGACAUUACAAAAUUUGAAUUGAAUGCAAAUUAAGUUUUUAACAUUUCUUAAUAGGUAAUAAAUGUCAUGUGAGCAUGUGAUUAUUUAUUUAUAUGACAGGUACUAGAUGAAGCAGAUAGAUUACUAAAUGAGGAUUUUGAGAAAACGAUUGAUGAAAUUUUGGGCGUUAUUCCUCGUGAGCGAAGAACAUAUUUAUUUUCUGCAACAAUGACUAAAAAGGUAUGCAAGUUAAUGGUCAUGCUGUAAACUUGUGUGUACAUAUGUUCUAUCCAUCAUCAUUAAGUCAUACUUCUGUGACGGUGGAUGUAACACGGUAGUCAACUUUUUUGCAUGUGGCCAUUAUUUUCCUGUUACAUGAUUUCUUAUUCCUUCUUUCUACGUUAAUCUUGUUUGAUAUCAUGCAGAUCACAUACACCUUCCCUCUAGUCAGUCUGCAAAUUGCAUCUUAUAGUUUCAUAAGAUUUGAUUAUAUUGUUUGGUGUUUUUAAUGUUUUGUGAAGAUCUUUUAUAUGCAUUUUUCGUAAUUUUGACCUUGUUUGAUUCUCAUUCUUUGGCCACAAAAAUGAAAAAUAUGACUGUUAUCUAUCACAUCAAAACAGCAUAUUUGACUUCUAUCUCUUGUGUGGAUCCUGUAACGGCUAUAUUUUUCAUUAUCAUUCUUACAAAAGAAUGUUCUUACUUUUUUCUGGUUAACAUUUUUAUGUAUAGAAGAAAAAAUGUUAUUUACAUUUUGCCUUGCUUUUCUUGCUUCUGCAUAUCCUGCAUCUAAAUAUAUUCAAAGUUUUCUGUAGUCAUUUCUUUGAUUCACUCAAUUACUGGAUUUGAAUUGGCAGCAGCCAGCAGAAGCAAAUCGACAGUCACCUAAUUUGUCAUCUGUGUGCAGAGGACCAAAAAGCCCAAUCCAUUUGUUAUAGUGAUAUUUUCUUAGACAGGCCUUAACUGGUUCAAGAGUAAAAGAAAACCUAGAUAGAUUUUUCUUUAUUCUUAUUUGCUGUGGCUAUCGAGUCCUGUUUCUUUGUGCUUCAGGUAGAUGUAAUCAGUUAUUUGCCAGGAAUGGAAUGUAGUGCAAAUAAUCUCAAUUGCCUAAUGAUUUCUGUUUCUCAAUGUAACAGGUGAAAAAGCUCCAGAGAGCUUGUCUAAAAAAUCCUGUAAAGGUAUGUUGUGCGUGUUCUUGCUUGUCAUUUUUAAAAAAUUCUCAUUGAAUAUUUGUCUCAUUUGUUUUUUUAUCCAACAGAUUGAAGCUGCAUCCAAAUAUUCCACUGUUGAUACGCUUAAGCAGCAGUAUUGCUUUGUUCCGGCGAAGUAUAAGGUCUGUACUUUCUAUAGCUUCAAUUUGGCAUACAAGAGACCUCCUAAUGUUGUAUGCCAGUCCUUUGUGAAGCCACUGUAUGAACAUUAAGAUGGUGAUUAUAUGUAUAUGUGUAAUUUUUUCUGGCUAAGGUGGAAAAUAUUGAGUCAACACUUUGGUAAAAAAGUGUGGUUUUAGUUCAUAUUGUGGUUCUUCUAAUGCUAAGUCAUCAUCACUUAAACUAUUAGUCUUCUUACUAUGGGGCACUAUGAUUGUAACAUCCUACAGUAAAACGUUGUCGGAAAAUGGGCACUGUUUAUCUCAUGGCGAGCACAAAAGUUCAACUCCUGGUACCUUUUGAUUGUGGAUUAUUUUUGCGUAAUAGUAAUAGGUUGAGCUUUAGACCUGCCUCAGACCUGCCCAAUUCUGUACUACGUUACAGGGCUUGUGAGUUAAAUGCUACUUAUAGAAUAUGAUUGUUCAACAAAUACGAACAAUAGGGGUAAAACUAUUAUGAAUCUAAUUUUUACUGGUUUGAAUGAACUCGGAGAAUAGUUCAGAAUAAAAGUAUGUUUGGGAAGUGUUUAUGAACCUUUUAAAUUAUAAAUAGAUAGGAAUAAGUGUUGUGAAUAGUACUUGUUUAUCCCUCGAAAUGUGAGGAUAUAAUGUGAUUGGAGUACUUAUAAAGAGUUUAUUUACAUUAGCCAAACAUAGGCUAAGUAAAAUAGAACCCUUUUUUGUGUCUGUUCUCCAUACCGUGUUUCUGCAAUUGUACUUAUAUUAAAGUAAAAGUUGCAAGGUAUUCUUUGCUAAAUUAUUUUAUAUUGUUCUUCUUUGGGUUUUGAUUUACAUCUUUUAUUUGCUGCAGGAGUGCUAUCUUGUUUUUAUUCUCACCGAGAAGCCAGAAAGUACAUCUAUGGUUUUUACUCGAACAUGUGAUGCAACUGUUCUUUUGGCUUACCUUCUUCGGAACCUUGGCUUUAGAGCCAUUCCGAUUAGUGGUCAUAUGAGCCAGGUAUUAUUUAAAUAUCUUACUAACAGAUUUGCUGAAGUACUACUUGUGUGUUACACAUGGAAACAGUCCAUUUUUGCAAUAUAGUCUGUUUCCAUGCGCUUUCACAUUCAUUUCGCUUUUAUUUGCAGGCAAAAAGACUUGGAGCCUUAAACAAAUUCAAGUCUGGAGAGUGCAACAUACUCAUCUGUACUGAUGUUGCCAGUAGAGGACUUGAUAUCCCAUCUGUAGAUAUGAUUAUCAACUACGAUAUCCCCAUCAACUCAAAGGUUAAGCUUUAUUCUUCGUGGUCUAUAAACUAUGUUCUUGUUCCAAAGAUGUCUGUUUUCCUCAAUAUCCAAUUUCUGAGUUCUCAUUUCAUGUUGACUGGCUAUUGUUAGCUCAACUUGUCCAACAUUUUACUGCUUUCAUCCCUUCCAUCUUAUUUAUGUAAAAUGCAAGUUAAUAACUUGUAAUAUAAUUUUCUUCUCUGGCUACUAAAAAAAUAUUUUGUUUGUUGAAAAAACAAAAAGAUAAUUAUUAAGUAGAAUCGCACAAGACUGCAAGAAGAAGAGUGGAUAGAAAAACCUAAUCUGUGAAUAAAUCUCUCCAAAUCAUUUGUAGACUCACUUAUUAUGACCAAAUGACCAAAUGAUCAUCAUAUGUCUGGCCCAUAAACACAGUCUGGUGUACCUAUAAUGGCAUGUCGUAUUUUCUCAUUAUUGUUGCUAUUGUGAGGUUGGGAAAACUGAGCUGAAAUGAUAUGUCUGCUGCUUCUUACCAUCUACUGUAGUAUUAUAGACUUGUAGCUAACUUAUAUAAUGUUAUGUAUAAUUUUAAUGUUUUGAAAUCUAAAUUGCUCUUCAAGGUUUCUUCCUCCAUACCAUCUCUUUACCAGCAUUCGUGCUUAAUGUUUCAGCACUUCUUAGUGCCUUUGGUCAGCGCUUGCCCUCUUUUAAUGUUUGUUACAUUCUUGAGGUACUAUCAUCAAGAUAUGAAUUCUCUGCUGUCAAAUAAAAAGUGUACUGGCUAGAAUCCUACAAAUAGUGCUUAUUGUAAGCUGUGGGUCCUAUGGAAUGUAGGGAUAGAAAGUGGGUAGUAAUAGUUUUGGUUCAUACAAAAUGUGUGGAUAAAAAAGUUUGUUUGAUCAGAAGUAAUAAUAAAAUAAUCACCAACCAACAUGCAGUCUUCUGGUUUUUGUCAAUUUAAUCUUAUAUUGUCAUUUUGUGAAAUGUCUUCAGGAUUAUAUACAUCGCGUUGGAAGAACUGCUCGUGCUGGACGCUCUGGGAUUGCAAUAUCAUUGAUCAAUCAAUACGAGAUGGGAUGGUACCUGCAAAUAGAGCAACUU
This 7034-nucleotide long non-coding RNA is filed under the name Olea europaea (common olive). RNAcentral's name for it is "long non-coding RNA (OEUR_LNC003393)". Lineage: Eukaryota; Viridiplantae; Streptophyta; Magnoliopsida; Lamiales; Oleaceae. The record is from RNAcentral.